RNAcentral lists this long non-coding RNA (480 nucleotides) under Ricinus communis (castor bean). Its description in RNAcentral is "long non-coding RNA (RCOM_LNC003687)". Lineage: Eukaryota; Viridiplantae; Streptophyta; Magnoliopsida; Malpighiales; Euphorbiaceae. The record is from RNAcentral.
GAAGAUGCAAAACAAGCAGCAACAGACUGAUGGAGUGCUUGAAUGUAAUAUUUCAAGUUGGAGUUGAUUGUUCUGUUGAGUUUCCUAGAGAACGAAUGCCCAUUGUUGAUGUUGGCAGGCAGUUAGCCUCAAUCAAGGACAAACUUGUCGGAACUGGAUUUCCUAGCAAGAGACAAAUUAGUAUUCUAUAAGGAAAAGAGAUGUUAUUGAUAUGGUCAGAACCAAACGUUGCCAAAUAGAACAUGUAAAUCCCAUAUUAUGGGAUGGCACAGAUUCAAUGGAAAUUCCCGAAUGGGAGCCUUUUCUGUGCAGAGAGAUGAGCUUAUGAAGUUCUGUGUUAUUGUUAUGACUUGGAAAUGUAUUCUCUCUGAACAUCCCUAACCAAAUACAUUUUACCUUUAUUGAUGCAAUGUGAUUUAUUAUAAAUUAAACAAUAAUUUUAUAAGAGAGACAUAUAUCAAAAAUAGAUUUUAAAAAAAU